Medicago truncatula (barrel medic) is the source of this 113-nucleotide microRNA precursor. It matches the Rfam family "MIR2593 microRNA precursor family". NCBI's taxonomy places the organism in Eukaryota, Viridiplantae, Streptophyta, Magnoliopsida, Fabales, Fabaceae. The record is from Rfam.
AUAUAAGUAAAAUUGACUUUUUAGGUUCAUUCAAUUAAUGAUGUAUAUGGUUCAUAAUAUGAACCACAUACAUUAUUAAUUGAAUGAACCUAAAAAGUCAAUUUUGCUUAUAU